GUUUUCAACAAGUUCUAUCAGAUGGCCGGGAAUAAUUUUGCCGAGCUAAACUCAGCGCUCAUUGCCCUGCUGCCGAAGAAGGAUGGCGCGUCUGAGAUCAGUCACUACAGGCCCAUCAGCUUAAUUCACUCCAGGGUGAUCCGUUGUCCCCACUGCUGUUCAUCCUGGCUAUCGAUCCGUUGUUCCGUCUGCUGGACACGGCCACAGCAAGGGGGUUGA
RNAcentral lists this ribosomal RNA (219 nucleotides) under Triticum aestivum (bread wheat). RNAcentral describes it as "partial small subunit ribosomal RNA". The record is from RNAcentral. Lineage: Eukaryota; Viridiplantae; Streptophyta; Magnoliopsida; Poales; Poaceae.